This 915-nucleotide ribosomal RNA is filed under the name uncultured marine archaeon. RNAcentral describes it as "bacterial SSU rRNA". It matches the Rfam family "Archaeal small subunit ribosomal RNA", at positions 1 to 922 of the family's 1478-position model. The record is from RNAcentral.
UUCCGGUUGAUCCUGCCGGAGGCUACCGCUAUUGGAGUUCGAUUAAGCCAUGCGAGUCCAGAGCUUUCGGAGCUCGGCGUACCGCUCAGUAACACGUGGGUAACCUAACCUAUGCAGGGGAAUAACCUCGGGAAACUGAGAAUAAUGCCCCAUAGUCCACUACGCCUGGAACGGUGAGUGGAUCAAAGCUCCGGCGGCAUAGGAUGGGCCUGCGGCGUAUCAGGUUGUAGGGGGUGUAACGUACCCUCUAGCCCUCUACGCGUACGGGUGUUGGGAGACAUAGCCCGGAGAUGGAUUCUGAGACACGAAUCCAGACCCUACGGGGUGCAGCAGGCGCGAAAACUUGGCAAUGCGAGAAAUCGUGACCAGGGAACUCCAAGUGCAUGGGGUAAGACCCAUGCUUUUCUUGACUCUAAAUAGGUCUUGGAAUAAGGGGUGGGUAAGGACGGUGCCAGCCGCCGCGGUAAUACCGGCGCCUCAAGUGGUAGUCGCUUUUAUUGGGCCUAAAACGUCCGUAGCCGGUCUGAUACAUUCGUGGGUAAAUCAACCAGCUUAACUGGUUGAAUUCUGCGAGGACGGUCAGACUUGGGACCGGGAGAGGUGUGGGGUACGCUCAGGGUAGGGGUAAAAUCCUGUCAUCCUGAGCGGACCACCUGUUGCGAAGGCGCCACACUAGAACGGAUCCGACGGUCAGGGACGAAGCCUAGGGGCACGAACCGGAUUAGAUACCCGGGUAGUCCUAGGUGUAAACGCUGUGGACUUGAUGUUGGGGGUGCUCCGAGCACUCUCAGUGUCGAAGCGAAGGUGAUAAGUCCACUGCCUGGGAAGUACGGUCGCAAGGCUGAAACUUAAAGGAAUUGGCGGGGGAGCACCGCAACCUGAGGAUUGUGCGGUUUAAUUGGAGUCAACGCCGGA